This 459-nucleotide ribosomal RNA is filed under the name uncultured bacterium. RNAcentral describes it as "bacterial SSU rRNA". It matches the Rfam family "Bacterial small subunit ribosomal RNA", at positions 30 to 485 of the family's 1533-position model. The record is from RNAcentral.
AUUGAACGCUGGCGGCAUGCCUUACACAUGCAAGUCGAACGGCAGCACGGGAGCAAUCCUGGUGGCGAGUGGCGAACGGGUGAGUAAUAUAUCGGAACGUGCCCGGUCGUGGGGAUAACGUAGCGAAAGCUACGCUAAUACCGCAUACGAUCUACGGAUGAAAGCGGGGGAUCGCAAGACCUCGCGCGAUUGGAGCGGCCGAUAUCAGAUUAGGUAGUUGGUGAGGUAAAGGCUCACCAAGCCGACGAUCUGUAGCUGGUCUGAGAGGACGACCAGCCACACUGGGACUGAGACACGGCCCAGACUCCUACGGGAGGCAGCAGUGGGGAAUUUUGGACAAUGGGCGCAAGCCUGAUCCAGCAAUGCCGCGUGCAGGAUGAAGGCCUCGGUUGUAAACUGCUUUGUACGGUAACGAAACGGUAGAGCUCUAAUACAGUUGCUAAUAGACGGUACCGUAAG